AUGCGUAGAUAUAUGGAAGAACACCAGUGGCGAAGGCGGCUGUCUGGUCUGUAACUGACGCUGAGGCUCGAAAGUAUGGGUAGCAAACAGGAUUAGAUACCCUGGUAGUCCAUACCGUAAACGAUGAAUGCUAAGUGUUGGAGGGUUUCCCCCCUUCAGUGCUGCAGCUAACGCAUUAAGCAUUCCGCCUGGGGAGUACGGCCGCAAGGCUGAAACUCAAAGGAAUUGACGGGGGCCCGCACAAGCGGUGGAGCAUGUGGUUUAAUUCGAAGCUACGCGAAGAACCUUACCAGGUCUUGACAUACUAUGCAAAUCUAAGAGAUUAGACGUUCCCUUCGGGGACAUGGAUACAGGUGGUGCAUGGUUGUCGUCAGCUCGUGUCGUGAGAUGUUGGGUUAAGUCCCGCAACGAGCGCAACCCUUAUUUUCAGUUGCCAGCAUUAAGUUGGGCACUCUGGUGAGACUGCCGGUGACAAACCGGAGGAAGGUGGGGAUGACGUCAAAUCAUCAUGCCCCUUAUGA
RNAcentral lists this ribosomal RNA (521 nucleotides) under Lactiplantibacillus plantarum. Its description in RNAcentral is "bacterial SSU rRNA". It matches the Rfam family "Bacterial small subunit ribosomal RNA", at positions 686 to 1207 of the family's 1533-position model. Lineage: Bacteria; Bacillati; Bacillota; Bacilli; Lactobacillales; Lactobacillaceae. The record is from RNAcentral.